RNAcentral lists this ribosomal RNA (1408 nucleotides) under metagenome. RNAcentral describes it as "bacterial SSU rRNA". It matches the Rfam family "Bacterial small subunit ribosomal RNA". The record is from RNAcentral.
GCAGCACGGGAGCAAUCCUGGUGGCGAGUGGUGAACGGGUGAGUAAUGUAUCGGAACGUACCUUUCAGUGGGGGAUAACGUAGCGAAAGUUACGCUAAUACCGCAUAUUCUGUGUGCAUGAAAGCAGGGGAUCGCAAGACCUUGCGCUGAUUGAGCGGCCGAUAUCAGAUUAGCUAGUUGGUGAGGUAAAGGCUCACCAAGGCGACGAUCUGUAGCGGGUCUGAGAGGAUGAUCCGCCACACUGGAACUGAGACACGGUCCAGACUCCUACGGGAGGCAGCAGUGGGGAAUUUUGGACAAUGGGGGCAACCCUGAUCCAGCCAUGCCGCGUGAGUGAAGAAGGCCUUCGGGUUGUAAAGCUCUUUCGGCCGGGAAGAAAUCGCAUGGGUUAAUACCCUGUGCGGAUGACGGUACCGGCAUAAGAAGCACCGGCUAACUACGUGCCAGCAGCCGCGGUAAUACGUAGGGUGCGAGCGUUAAUCGGAAUUACUGGGCGUAAAGCGUGCGCAGGCGGUUUUGUAAGACAGGCGUGAAAUCCCCGGGCUCAACCUGGGAACUGCGCUUGUGACUGCAAGGCUAGAGUAUGGCAGAGGGGGGUGGAAUUCCACGUGUAGCAGUGAAAUGCGUAGAGAUGUGGAGGAACACCAAUGGCGAAGGCAGCCCCCUGGGCCAAUACUGACGCUCAUGCACGAAAGCGUGGGUAGCAAACAGGAUUAGAUACCCUGGUAGUCCACGCCCUAAACGAUGUCAACUAGGUGUUGGGUGGGUAAAACCAUUUAGUACCGGAGCUAACGCGUGAAGUUGACCGCCUGGGGAGUACGGCCGCAAGGUUAAAACUCAAAGGAAUUGACGGGGACCCGCACAAGCGGUGGAUGAUGUGGAUUAAUUCGAUGCAACGCGAAAAACCUUACCUACCCUUGACAUGUCCAGGAGCCUGAAGAGAUUUGGGUGUGCCCGAAAGGGAUCUGGAACACAGGUGCUGCAUGGCUGUCGUCAGCUCGUGUCGUGAGAUGUUGGGUUAAGUCCCGCAACGAGCGCAACCCUUGUCGUUAAUUGCCAUCAUUCAGUUGGGCACUUUAACGAGACUGCCGGUGACAAACCGGAGGAAGGUGGGGAUGACGUCAAGUCCUCAUGGCCCUUAUGGGUAGGGCUUCACACGUCAUACAAUGGUCGGUACAAAGGGUCGCCAACCCGCGAGGGGGAGCCAAUCCCAGAAAGCCGAUCGUAGUCCGGAUCGCAGGCUGCAACUCGCCUGCGUGAAGUCGGAAUCGCUAGUAAUCGUGGAUCAGCAUGUCACGGUGAAUACGUUCCCGGGUCUUGUACACACCGCCCGUCACACCAUGGGAGCGGGUUCCGCCAGAAGUAGGUAGCCUAACCGCAAGGAGGGCGCUUACCACGGCGGGGGUCG